RNAcentral lists this ribosomal RNA (468 nucleotides) under uncultured bacterium. RNAcentral's name for it is "partial 16S ribosomal RNA". It matches the Rfam family "Bacterial small subunit ribosomal RNA", at positions 28 to 507 of the family's 1533-position model. The record is from RNAcentral.
GACGAACGCUGGCGGCGUGCUUAACACAUGCAAGUCGAACGGAAAGGCCCUGCUUUUGUGGGGUGCUCGAGUGGCGAACGGGUGAGUAACACGUGAGUAACCUGCCCUUGACUUUGGGAUAACUUCAGGAAACUGGGGCUAAUACCGGAUAGGAGCUCCUGCUGCAUGGUGGGGGUUGGAAAGUUUCGGCGGCUGGGGAUGGACUCGCGGCUUAUCAGCUGUUUGGUGGGGUAGUGGCUUACCAAGGCUUUGACGGGUAGCCGGCCUGAGAGGGUGACCGGCCAGAUUGGGACUGAGAUACGGCCCGUACUCCUACAGGAGGCAGCAGUCGGGAAGAUUGCACAAUGGGCGGAAGCCUGAUGCAGCAACGCCGCGUGCGGGAUGAAGGCCUUCGGGUUGUAAACCGCCUGCGCCGGUGACGAAGCGUGAGUGACGGUAAUGGGUAAAGAAGCACCGGCUAACUACGUG